This 456-nucleotide ribosomal RNA is filed under the name uncultured eukaryote. RNAcentral's name for it is "SSU rRNA". It matches the Rfam family "Eukaryotic small subunit ribosomal RNA", at positions 621 to 1082 of the family's 1831-position model. The record is from RNAcentral.
AAAAAGCUCGUAGUUGAACUUCAGGCCUGGCCGGGUGGUCUGCCUCACGGUAUGCACUGUCUGGCUGGGUCUUACCUCUUGGUGAGCCAGCAUGCCCUUCACUGGGUGUGUUGGGGAACCAGGACUUUUACCUUGAGAAAAUUAGAGUGUUCAAAGCAGGCCUAUGCCCGAAUACAUUAGCAUGGAAUAAUAAAAUAGGACGUGCGGUUCUAUUUUGUUGGUUUCUAGAAUCGCCGUAAUGAUUAAUAGGGAUAGUUGGGGGCAUUAGUAUUCAGUUGCUAGAGGUGAAAUUAUUGGAUUUACUGAAGACUAACUACUGCGAAAGCAUUUGCCAAGGAUGUUUUCAUUAAUCAAGAACGAAGGUUAGGGGAUCGAAAACGAUCAGAUACCGUUGUAGUCUUAACAGUAAACUAUGCCGACUAGGGAUCGGGCGAACUCAAUCUUAUGUGUCGCUCG